This 158-nucleotide non-coding RNA is filed under the name Rhodopila globiformis. Its description in RNAcentral is "6S / SsrS RNA". It matches the Rfam family "6S / SsrS RNA". Rfam says of the family: E. coli 6S RNA was the first non coding RNA to be sequenced, but its function was unknown until recently. It consists of 184 nucleotides that fold into an extended hairpin structure with a large single-stranded internal bulge. Lineage: Bacteria; Pseudomonadati; Pseudomonadota; Alphaproteobacteria; Acetobacterales; Acetobacteraceae. The record is from Rfam by way of RNAcentral.
UGCGGGCUGCCCGGUGCGUCAGGCAAGACAUCCCCUGGGCCAGUAAGCAACUCCCUCGGGAGCUGGCUCUGCCGGAACCCUGGUUUCGGUACCCGGCGCCCACCUGCACACGCAGGCUCUGGGAGGAUGCAAAUGCCAACGGCCAGGGCGGCUUCGCA